UACGUAGGGGGCUAGCGUUAUCCGGAAUUACUGGGCGUAAAGGGUGCGUAGGUGGUUUCUUAAGUCAGAGGUGAAAGGCUACGGCUCAACCGUAGUAAGCCUUUGAAACUGGGAAACUUGAGUGCAGGAGAGGAGAGUGGAAUUCGUGGUGUAGCGGUGAAAUGCAUAGAUAUCACGAAGAACCCCGAUUGCGAAGGCAGCAUACCGGCUCCACACUGACGCUGAGGCACGAAAGCGUGGGUAUCGAACAGG
Molecule: ribosomal RNA, 252 nt
Filed under: uncultured bacterium
Lineage: Bacteria
Description: partial 16S ribosomal RNA
Rfam family: Bacterial small subunit ribosomal RNA
Source: RNAcentral